UACGUAGGGGGCUAGCGUUGUCCGGAAUCAUUGGGCGUAAAGCGCGUGUAGGCGGUCCGGUAAGUCCGCUGUGAAAGUCGGGGGCUCAACCCUCGGAUGCCGGUGGAUACUGUCGGGCUUGAGUACGGAAGAGGCGAGUGGAAUUCCUGGUGUAGCGGUGAAAUGCGCAGAUAUCAGGAAGAACACCAAUGGCGAAGGCAGCUCUCUGGGACGGUACUGACGCUGAGACGCGAAAGCGUGGGGAGCGAACAGG
RNAcentral lists this ribosomal RNA (253 nucleotides) under uncultured bacterium. RNAcentral describes it as "partial 16S ribosomal RNA". It matches the Rfam family "Bacterial small subunit ribosomal RNA", at positions 524 to 776 of the family's 1533-position model. The record is from RNAcentral.